Molecule: non-coding RNA, 801 nt
Organism: Nelumbo nucifera (sacred lotus)
Lineage: Eukaryota; Viridiplantae; Streptophyta; Magnoliopsida; Proteales; Nelumbonaceae
Source: RefSeq, a predicted model, not a curated record
AUGUCAAAACUACCCUUAUCUUCUACCUGAUUCCCUGUCAAUUCUACUGUUUGGCACUAUUCACCUUCCUCCUUUGUUUGAAACGAACAGAGGCGGCGGCUACCCCCUUCAACUCGUGAGAAUGCUAACGUGCAUGAGCUACUAAAUUCACCUGAUAAUCCACAAUCAGGACCACCUCUAUCUCUCUGGUCAAAGGCGAUCACGGAUGUGGGAGAAACAAUCUUGUCAAAACCUAGGGUUAGUUCUUUGGAGUUCUUGCUAGAAGGAUCUGGCACAAUGAGUGGUAGGAGGAACCACAGUAGCGGUCGGGAUCCAUUUGAUGUCAAUCGGCACUGCUCGAGGGAGGUCGCAAGUGACAGGAGGACCAUGGUACUCCAUAGCAAACGAAUAUUCGACCUCAUCUUGACUGUGGGGGAUCGGAGCCCUAACAGGCAACAUGCUAGUAAUGUGGAGUGGUCCUUAACAGCACUACUUUCCUCAACAACCAUUUUCUUGGUGGCUUCACCUUCACUGGUUGCAAAUUCCUGAUGUGCCUAUUUGAUGAAUGAAAUUUCAACCGAGGAUGUCAAAAGGUAAACGGUUUGGGGGCUAAAUGAAGUAAUGAACCUACAAAUCUGACUGGUUGAUAAGUCAAUCGGUAGAUUCAACAAUGGAAUGGAUUGAAAACAUCGACUUCGACAAUCAGAAUCACUUAAUUGGGAUUUGGGAAAAUGGUCCUAUGUUUUACAGAUAGCACAGCUAACAUGUACUUGGGAACUGAAUACGUUGGCAAUUCAGAAUUUCAGAGGGUCUUUUAUGUCA